This 1134-nucleotide long non-coding RNA is filed under the name Homo sapiens (human). RNAcentral describes it as "HSALNT0039237". The record is from RNAcentral. Lineage: Eukaryota; Metazoa; Chordata; Mammalia; Primates; Hominidae.
GCACCAUUUUCGAGUGCGCUUGCACAUCAUGCAGGGCCAUCUGUAAAUCAGAAACCUGCAAUAUAAGUCCUGCAAGGCCUGCCAUGGCUCAUGCAAAGCAAGAUCACCACUUCAGCCUGCUGCCUCUUGGGCUGCAAUCUCUACUACUUGCAUGAGACCAUUGAGACUGAACCCUCACACAACAAGUUAAACGAAGCAGCUUUAUCACUCCCAGGUACUGUGGGCAGAGAAGCACAGUAAAAUAGCAGAGGCUACUGCUUACAGGCACAGAGCAGAGCAUUGGGAUGAGACAGUUGGAGAGAUGCUUAGUGUCACGGGCUGGAUGGUACAGCAUCUGUGAGACAAGAUGGAGACAGAGGCAGAUCCCUGAAAAAGGCUAUGAUGUCUUAGAGGGUUACGGAAAUGCAGUAAAGUUACAAAUUAUUUGUACAUAGAGGUGGAGGCAAAUAAUAAUAUAGAGAAAAAAGAAACACUCACUGAAGCAACAGAAGCAGACUUGGCUCAGCCUGGCUCGUGGCCUCCGACUGUGCCCUAGAGGAGCUAUUUGCUCGAGACCUACUCCAGGUUGGCCUGGCAUGAACACGUGACUCUCAUCUUCAGUUAGCGUGGCUCAGCGUCCAGAUCAGCGUCUGCGGACACCCCUCACCACAGUGGCUGCCCUGGAGCUCUGAGAGCCAGGCUUGUGAAAAUGGAACAGAAAAGGCCACUGGCUUCAGCUUGGUCCUCUGCCGCCACCUGUGUGCUGGAAGCAGCCACCGCACCGGACUGGAAAGCGCCUUGCUCUAGGGCCCUGGAUGCAAGGUCUGAGGCAGCCCUUGAGGAAUAUGGGAGAGGGAAAGAAACUAGGGGAGCAGAGCCUUAGAAAGGCAGGCUCCUUAUCGCCCCGUCCUGCAGAACUUUCCUCUGUGAAUAAAUUCAGAGAUCCUCUGAUACAGUGAAGGGAAGAAGAAACACUAACACCAGCCCAGAGCUUCUGGCCCAGAAACACAGCACUGGGUUGUGGAUUAAUCCACACUGUAAAGAAACUUUGAGAUUGUUCAGCUAGUUCCAUCAGAGCAGAAAGGGCAUUUUAGAAAUGAAAGACUUGGAACCAACCCAAAUGUCCAACAACGAUAGACUGGAUUAAGAAAAUGU